Molecule: long non-coding RNA, 497 nt
Filed under: Mytilus galloprovincialis (Mediterranean mussel)
Lineage: Eukaryota; Metazoa; Mollusca; Bivalvia; Mytilida; Mytilidae
Source: RNAcentral
GUUUUCUGAUCCAUAGCACAAGGUUACCUUCAGUUAUACUUUUGUCUUGUUUCAAAGGCCUUAAAAGAACUGCUCAAUUACUUAUCUGAAGCACCUGGGUUACCUUACAAUUUGCGUGCUGUUGUUUUAAAAAUAUUUUGUUUUGUAUUUAUUUGUGUGUUUUGUAUUUUUUAUAGUUGCAUUUAGUGUGCCAAAAAAUAUGAAAACUUGACGUGACGUCGCAUACAAUAUGAAAACUUGACGUUCGUGACGACACGUAUGACGUCAUUAAAAAAAUUACAUAUUUUGAGGAAAAAUUUUCUUAAGCAAAAAAAAACCAAAACUGACGUUAUGUAAAAAAAAAAAAAAAAAACUAGAGGCUCUCAAGAGCCUGUAUCGCUCACCUGAUUCUACUUGGGUUUUUGAAAUCAUAUGAAAAAAUAUAAAAUUUGGCUAAAAGUGACAACACAACCUCAUUGAUAAGGAAAGGAACAUGUUUAAUUUCAUUCAAAAGUCCC